This 161-nucleotide unclassified non-coding RNA is filed under the name soil metagenome. RNAcentral's name for it is "partial internal transcribed spacer 1". The record is from RNAcentral.
CAGAGUUGCAAGACUCCCUAAACCAUUGUGAACCUACCUUCUACCGUUGCUUCGGCGGGCGGGCCCAGCGCCCCCCCCGGCCCCCCGCGGGCGCCCGCCGGAGGAUACCCAAACCUCUUGACAUUAGUGGCCUCUCUGAGUAUUCUUUACUGAAUAAGUCA